UUUUCUUGUAAUGCCGUUUUUUUUUUGAAACUUCAUCCCCAGGAUAAGGGCGUCACUGGCUAGGCCAGCAUUUAUUACCCAUCGGGCAGUUAAGAGUCAACUACGUUGCUGUGGGUCUGGAGUCACAAGUAGGCCAGACCAGAUUACCUCAGGUCUAUUUCUUGAUCUUCACUGCUGCUACCAUUUUCAAGACAGUGUAUCCUGCAGCUGCCACCAUCUUUUAGCACAUUGUUUGAUGCCACCCUGUGAGUUUGGGUUUAAGACAGACCAGUCGAGGAAUAAGUAAAGUCAAGAACUGAUUUCAGGCUCAGGCUUCAAGGUUUCCACAAGCCUUCGAGUCCACAAAAAUGAAGAAAUAUGAAGAAUCUUCAUAACACCAACAACGUUGAAAAGAAGUGAGAUGCCAUUUUCCAAUACAUUGCAUUACAUCGUGUGGACAAGAAUAAAAUAUAUUUUAAAACAUUAA
Molecule: long non-coding RNA, 466 nt
Organism: Rhincodon typus (whale shark)
Lineage: Eukaryota; Metazoa; Chordata; Chondrichthyes; Orectolobiformes; Rhincodontidae
Exons: 3
Source: RefSeq, a predicted model, not a curated record